RNAcentral lists this long non-coding RNA (349 nucleotides) under Salvia miltiorrhiza (redroot sage). RNAcentral's name for it is "long non-coding RNA (SMIL_LNC011348)". Lineage: Eukaryota; Viridiplantae; Streptophyta; Magnoliopsida; Lamiales; Lamiaceae. The record is from RNAcentral.
CUUUUAAUCUCUUUCAUUGACGCAGCAUGAUUCAAACACCAUUAAGAUUUUACAAACCAAAGCAUGAGUACCAACUGCAUAAACCUGUAAACUACAUAAUUGUGCUUUUACAAUGUUUUUACAUAAUAAAUCAAGACCUGUAAUUUGGAAAAAGAUUCGAACUUGAUUCUUGUGUUGAACUUGAGCCUUGAUUGUUGACUGUUGAAUGUUGAGUGUAUGGUUGCUGUGAUAGAGUCGAGUCAGGGGAGAAAGGGCAGGCGACGGUCAGCGGUGGCUUCGAGCUGCUGUCUGGCCGGAGCGCGUAGAGAGAGAGAGAGUGAAGCCGAGGGUGCGUGUGUUCUGUUGGCUG